Molecule: long non-coding RNA, 834 nt
Filed under: Homo sapiens (human)
Lineage: Eukaryota; Metazoa; Chordata; Mammalia; Primates; Hominidae
Description: HSALNT0025528
Source: RNAcentral
GGCUCCAGUCCUCAGGGGACUCCAGUCCUCAGGGGGCUCCAGUCCUCAGGGGGGUGCUCCAGUCCUCAGGGGGGCGUUCCAGUCCUCAGGUGGCUCCAGUCCUCAGGGGUAUCCAGUCCUCAGGGGGGCUCCAGUCUUCAGGCGGCUCCAGUCCUCAGGGGGCUCCAGUCCUCAGGGUGCUCCAGUCCUCAGGGGUAUCCAGUCCUCAGGGGGGCUCCAGUCCUCAUGGGGCUUCAGUUCUUAGGCGGCUCCAGUCCUCAGGGGGCUCCAGUCCUCAGGGGGCUCCAGUCCUCAGGCGGCUCCAGUCCUCAGGGGGCUCCAGUCCUCAGGAGGGCGCUCCAGCACCCGUGACUCGCCAGGCUCCGUCUGAGACCCGUGCUAGGCUCGCUCUGUCCCUGCGUUCCCUCGCCUCUCUCUCCAGUUGUUUUUCCCAUUCUCACACCAGCACUGCACCAAGGUGAGAGGAGCCCCGCUGGAAAGGAAACAUUCGGACUCCGGUUUCAGCACCUCCUCCAGAAGCACAGGAUGUGCGACCUUCAGCCUUUGUGCCCACCUCCGAGCCACCAGCUCCGCAGAAGUAGCUGGGAAUGGAACUGUACUCCUCCAGAGACGUCUCCUCCAGGCUCACCACGGAGCAAAUUCUGUGCAGCAUAAGAGAAUAAACGCAUGCGGAAGAGAAGGCGUUUCAGAAGCCAGUUUCCAAACGACAGAUCCAUUGUACUUCUCUGAUGCACGUCACAAGCAUUUCUCCUCAAAGGACUUCAUCUAUAACAUCCUCACCAUUAAAUAAAGACAGGGCUUGUGUACUCUAGGGCAGGAUGAGUAGGUCUGUGA